AGCGAACGCUGGCGGCAGGCCUAAAACAUGCAAGUCGAACGCACCUUCGGGUGAGUGGCGGACGGGUGAGUAACGCGUGGGAACGUGCCCUUUGGUUCAGAACAACUCAGGGAAACUUGAGCUAAUACCGGAUGUGCCCUUCGGGGAAAGGAUUUAUCGCCAUUGGAGCGGCCCGCGUUGGAUUAGGUAGUUGGUGGGGUAAAGGCCCACCAAGCCUACGAUCCAUAGCUGGUCUGAGAGGAUGAUCAGCCACAUUGGGACUGAGACACGGCCCAAACUCCUACGGGAGGCAGCAGUUAGGAAUCUUGGGCAAUGGGCGAAAGCCUGACCCAGCCAUGCCGCGUGAAUGAUGAAGGUCCUAGGAUUGUAAAAAUUCUUUCACCGGGGAAGAUAAUGACGGUACCCGGAGAAGAAGCUCCGGCUAACUUCGUG
RNAcentral lists this ribosomal RNA (432 nucleotides) under uncultured bacterium. RNAcentral describes it as "bacterial SSU rRNA". It matches the Rfam family "Bacterial small subunit ribosomal RNA", at positions 29 to 507 of the family's 1533-position model. The record is from RNAcentral.